RNAcentral lists this transfer RNA (92 nucleotides) under Alteromonas mediterranea. RNAcentral's name for it is "tRNA-Ile". It matches the Rfam family "tRNA". From Rfam's summary of the family: Transfer RNA (tRNA) molecules are approximately 80 nucleotides in length. Their secondary structure includes four short double-helical elements and three loops (D, anti-codon, and T loops). Further hydrogen bonds mediate the characteristic L-shaped molecular structure. tRNAs have two regions of fundamental functional importance: the anti-codon, which is responsible for specific mRNA codon recognition, and the 3' end, to which the tRNAs corresponding amino acid is attached (by aminoacyl-tRNA synthetases). tRNAs cope with the degeneracy of the genetic code in two manners: having more than one tRNA (with a specific anti-codon) for a particular amino acid; and 'wobble' base-pairing, i.e. permitting non-standard base-pairing at the 3rd anti-codon position. The record is from RNAcentral. RNAcentral also lists the same sequence under 1 other name. Lineage: Bacteria; Pseudomonadati; Pseudomonadota; Gammaproteobacteria; Alteromonadales; Alteromonadaceae.
GCCCAGUUAGCUCAGUUGGUAGAGCAGCGGAUUUAUAUCCCGUAGAGCCAGAUAAGCUGUUUGCGCCGGUUCGAUUCCGGCACUGGGUACCA